UUGUAUGCCGGAAGGGAUAAAUCUGGGGCUGAGUACAAGCAAAACAAGACCAAAGGAAGCUACCUGAGCAGGUAUUCCAGAUACUCAUGUCAUACACCAAGGUUGUACCAGUGCCCCUUUCUCUGUGACACAUCCAUCCACUGGAAACUUUCGUACAACUAGCUGAAAGAAGAGAAACAUCCUAUUUCAUGUCACUGGAGCCCUAAUGAUCGCAGCCAUUUCAGGAAAUGCCAUCAAUUACAGUGAGGAGCUCAUUCAGAAGUGAAAGAUGAGUUCCAUUCUCUGUUACUUAGAGCUGGAGGGAGGAUGGCAUUUCAAGAGGUGGCAAGUGGUCCUUCUUCACAGUCAUAUCUCUCAUUCUGCAAGCCAAAGACUCAAUGGUGGAUAUCCUCCUCCACUGAAUGCAAACUAUUAAGUAAUGAAAAGACAGCACUCCAAGCAAUAUAGAUUUAUAGGCCAACCUGGCAAUCAAGGGUAACUGACAUGAAAAUGGAUUGCUUCACAUUUUAAUUACAAAGAUACUCUUCAGUACCAUAAAUUGAAGAAAACACUAACUUUUUGUGGCUACUGUAAUUGUCAAAGUAUAAUUACCUGUGUUUUCUCACCUACGUAUUUGAGAUAGAGACAAAACCAAGUAAGUUAAUCCACUUAUAAUAAAAAUGUCUUCUGAGAAUA
This 675-nucleotide long non-coding RNA is filed under the name Homo sapiens (human). RNAcentral's name for it is "uncharacterized LOC105379109, transcript variant 12 (LOC105379109)". The record is from RNAcentral. Lineage: Eukaryota; Metazoa; Chordata; Mammalia; Primates; Hominidae.